Molecule: ribosomal RNA, 620 nt
Filed under: Pseudomonas aeruginosa
Lineage: Bacteria; Pseudomonadati; Pseudomonadota; Gammaproteobacteria; Pseudomonadales; Pseudomonadaceae
Description: bacterial SSU rRNA
Rfam family: Bacterial small subunit ribosomal RNA
Source: RNAcentral
CUUGCUCCUGGAUUCAGCGGCGGACGGGUGAGUAAUGCCUAGGAAUCUGCCUGGUAGUGGGGGAUAACGUCCGGAAACGGGCGCUAAUACCGCAUACGUCCUGAGGGAGAAAGUGGGGGAUCUUCGGACCUCACGCUAUCAGAUGAGCCUAGGUCGGAUUAGCUAGUUGGUGGGGUAAAGGCCUACCAAGGCGACGAUCCGUAACUGGUCUGAGAGGAUGAUCAGUCACACUGGAACUGAGACACGGUCCAGACUCCUACGGGAGGCAGCAGUGGGGAAUAUUGGACAAUGGGCGAAAGCCUGAUCCAGCCAUGCCGCGUGUGUGAAGAAGGUCUUCGGAUUGUAAAGCACUUUAAGUUGGGAGGAAGGGCAGUAAGUUAAUACCUUGCUGUUUUGACGUUACCAACAGAAUAAGCACCGGCUAACUUCGUGCCAGCAGCCGCGGUAAUACGAAGGGUGCAAGCGUUAAUCGGAAUUACUGGGCGUAAAGCGCGCGUAGGUGGUUCAGCAAGUUGGAUGUGAAAUCCCCGGGCUCAACCUGGGAACUGCAUCCAAAACUACUGAGCUAGAGUACGGUAGAGGGUGGUGGAAUUUCCUGUGUAGCGGUGAAAUGCGUAGAU